AGUCGAGCGACGCAUGCCGGAGGGGUAACCCACUGGUAUGACGGAGCGGCGAACGGGUGAGUAACACCAACCUGCCCCACAGACCGGAACAGCCCAGGGAAACCUGGAUUAAUGCCGGAUGACCUCAUCGGACCACAUGGCCUGAUGAGGAAAUGCCUUUGUGCUGUGGGAUGGGCUCGCGGCUUAUCAGCUAGUUGGUGGGGUAACGGCCUACCAAGGCGUCGACGAGUAGCUGGUUUGAGAGGACGAUCAGCCACACUGGGACUGAGAUGCGGCCCAGACUCCUACGGGAGGCAGCAGCAGGGAAUCUUGCGCAAUGGGCGAAAGCCUGACGCAGCAACGCCGCGUGGGGGAUGACGGCCUUCGGGUUGUAAACCCCUUUCAGGAGGGAAGAAAUUGACGGUACCUCCAAAAGAAGCACCGGCCAACUACGUGCCAGCAGCCGCGGUAAUACGUAGGGUGCGAGCGUUAUCCGGAAUCAUUGGGCGUAAAGAGCUCGUAGGCGGUUCAGCAAGUCGGCUGUGAAAGUCCGAGGCUCAACCUCGGAACUGCAGUCGAUACUGCUGUGACUCGAGUCCGGUAGAGGAGAAUGGAAUUCCCGGUGUAGCGGUGAAA
Molecule: ribosomal RNA, 615 nt
Filed under: uncultured bacterium
Lineage: Bacteria
Description: bacterial SSU rRNA
Rfam family: Bacterial small subunit ribosomal RNA
Source: RNAcentral